RNAcentral lists this ribosomal RNA (382 nucleotides) under Mesorhizobium sp. RNAcentral describes it as "bacterial SSU rRNA". It matches the Rfam family "Bacterial small subunit ribosomal RNA", at positions 1 to 385 of the family's 1533-position model. Lineage: Bacteria; Pseudomonadati; Pseudomonadota; Alphaproteobacteria; Hyphomicrobiales; Phyllobacteriaceae. The record is from RNAcentral.
GAACUGAAGAGUUUGAUCAUGGCUCAGAUUGAACGCUGGCGGCAGGCCUAACACAUGCAAGUCGAGCGGUAGAGAGGUGCUUGCACCUCUUGAGAGCGGCGGACGGGUGAGUAAUGCCUAGGAAUCUGCCUGGUAGUGGGGGAUAACGCUCGGAAACGGGCGCUAAUACCGCAUACGUCCUACGGGAGAAAGCAGGGGACCUUCGGGCCUUGCGCUAUCAGAUGAGCCUAGGUCGGAUUAGCUAGUUGGUGAGGUAAUGGCUCACCAAGGCGACGAUCCGUAACUGGUCUGAGAGGAUGAUCAGUCACACUGGAACUGAGACACGGUCCAGACUCCUACGGGAGGCAGCAGUGGGGAAUAUUGGACAAUGGGCGAAAGCCUG